GUGAUGCAGUAGUCAUUUAGUUAGCAUAUUUGCACAAUGACAUGAAUGCAAAUCUAUGACAUGGUACGAAAUUAAAAAUUAUGUGAGAAUUGUGGUGCCAUGUUCAAAUGAGGUACAAAAGUUAGCAUAGCCUGUAAUUAUGUAAAUUGUGAAUCUUAAUUUACCUCAAAUCAUUCAUGCUAUAUUCCUAUACAAUUAGGAACCGAAAGAGGGCAGAGUUUCCUUGCUUUCUUACCAAAUGAAUAUCACCAUGAUAUAUAGGAAUACUCUAGAGCAGAAAACAAGGAUAGGGGAGAUCAGAUUGUAGCAUGAUUAUUGUUUGAGUAUACUUUAAUAUGUUUUUAGGUAUUACAGUACUAAAUUUCUGUGAUUGUAAGAUUUUUAUAUUGUUAUGUUGAUCAAAGUCAUACUUGGUUCCAUAGUUCUAUAAGAUGUCAUCACAUAAUCUGCUUUUCUUUGUUUCUGUUUCUGUCCAUUAAUUGUGCUUGCAAUUCUGUUUAUUUUUAUGCCGGGAACCAAUAUUAAAUGCUAAUUUUCUUAUUUUUUUUAUGGUUUUUGCAUGAAAUUUAUGUGAGAUAAUUUGCGAGUACUUGAGUGAAAUUUAUU
This 606-nucleotide unclassified non-coding RNA is filed under the name Hevea brasiliensis (rubber tree). Lineage: Eukaryota; Viridiplantae; Streptophyta; Magnoliopsida; Malpighiales; Euphorbiaceae. The record is from RNAcentral.